This is a non-coding RNA of Arachis ipaensis, 378 nucleotides long. Lineage: Eukaryota; Viridiplantae; Streptophyta; Magnoliopsida; Fabales; Fabaceae. The record is from RefSeq and is a predicted model, not a curated record.
AGUUCCUCCUCGCUGUUGAAUCCAACGCCCCGCAGUUUUGCGUUGUCUUUUGACACCAAUGCGGAAUAGAGAAGAAAGUGAGAAAAGGGCACUACAGGAUUAAGCAUAUGUUCUGAGUUGUUUGUUCAUGCUCAUGUCUUUCUAAGGUGAUUGUUGUGGUCAGAAAAUUCUAUUUUUGUUAGUGAUUUUUUUAGUCUAGACACUUAAGAGAGAUUUGCUGCCAUGGGCAAAUGAAUUCCUUGGUUGUACUAACAUUCAUAUGAUUGGUCCUUUUGAACCAUUUGGUGGCUAUUGCGAAUACUGCUUAGUUUCAGAAUUUGCACUUAAUUAGAGUGUGUUUGGAAACUUUAAUGAGAUGGAAUUGAAUUGAAUUCUAGA